CUUUGAGGGAUAGGGCGGUUGUCAUUUUUGCUUUCUGUAUGUUUCUUUUAUGUUCUUUAAUGUGCUGCCCUAACGUUCUUGUGGUUAUGCCCACAUAGGAUGCUUGUUGGUUUGUUUGGUUUUCAGUAACCGGUAUGGUAUAUACCCCUGUUCUUCUAGUCUAUCUCUAGGUUCUUUUUCGUUUCGUAUGGCGUUAAAUACUGUAGGGGUGACACGAAUGGGCACAUGCCCGGGUGGUGUCGGGGUUCAAACCCCCUUGCCCAUCCUUCUUCUCAAAACUAAUUGUUGGAGAAAUUUUCAGUUCAUGUUCCACCAGCCAAUGUUUAAUCGUCGAAGCAUCCCACCAGUAUCAACCAUUAUCAAAAAAAUAAUUUUAUUAAGAGAAAUAAAGUAACUUACAAAAAAUGAACAAUUUAUCUCAA
RNAcentral lists this long non-coding RNA (422 nucleotides) under Androctonus crassicauda. The record is from RNAcentral. Lineage: Eukaryota; Metazoa; Arthropoda; Arachnida; Scorpiones; Buthidae.